This 120-nucleotide transfer RNA is filed under the name Trametes versicolor. RNAcentral describes it as "tRNA-Leu". It matches the Rfam family "tRNA". From Rfam's summary of the family: Transfer RNA (tRNA) molecules are approximately 80 nucleotides in length. The record is from RNAcentral. RNAcentral also lists the same sequence under 1 other name. Lineage: Eukaryota; Fungi; Basidiomycota; Agaricomycetes; Polyporales; Polyporaceae.
GGCGAUAUGGCCGAGCGGUCUAAGGCGCCAGACUAAGGUGGUUCUCUCAUCCUGCAGGAUUUGAUCAUACGCUCGCAUAUCUGGUCCGAAAGGGCGUGGGUUCGAAUCCCACUGUCGUCA